AUCUUAACAAUAUAUCUUAUCAGUUAUUUUUUAUCAAUAAAUAAAAUUAUUUAUUAGGUAUAUAAUAUAAUUGUAUGGAAAAUUAGGAUUAUUUUAUAUUAUAACGAAGUAAAACUUAUGUAAAGUGAACACAACCUAAGUACGAAAAAUAAACACUGAAACCUCACAUUGUUCUUAUAUUCUUCUAGAAAAUCAUUUUCAAUAUGAACAGUCUCUAUUGUCCGGUGAGUUUAUUCUAUAAAUCUAUUGAUAUAUUUUAGUAAUUAUAAUUGGAAUAUUUACAUUUAGGUAUACAAGUAGUAACAAUAAUACUGAAAAUAAUACAGUCAAUGAACUAGAAUAUAAUAUUGAAAUUAAUGAACUUUGUGAUUUAUCCUACUAAGAAAUAAUUAUCAAUAUGAAAAAAACUAUAUUAACCAGUAAAAUUAUCAUGUAAAUUAUAUUAAUACACUUUGUUAAUUAAAAUUCCAAUAUUUUCAUUUAGGUACCACAAAGUGUUAUAAUAAUACUGAAAAUCUUGCAGUCAAUGAACUAGAUAGCGACAACUUGGACAAUAUUGAGGCCCUGUACAGUCAUUUUUGCAAGACCUUGAUAAGCUUUAUUUUUGUUUUUUUAUUUUCCAUUACCUAGCAUAGGUAGACCUUUAAAUACAAUUUUUCAUUGUUUAUUAAUAUUAAUUUGUAUUUUUUUAAAUAAUCAUGUGAAAUUACUAUCUAGCUAUGACAAUGACUAAACAUGGUACUUCUAAAAGCGUGGGGUUUUGUGUCACAGCUUGUAAAAAAACUUCCUUCAAGUAGGCCCUGAAAUUAGAACUUCAUAUUGAAUGUAAUUAACUUUGUGUUUCUGUACAUCAAGAAAAUGAUGAUCAAUGUAAACAAUCUUUAAAAACCAGUAAGAUGAUAUUAUACAUUUUAUUAAAUUGAUACAUUUUGGUAUAAUUAAAAUAAAUUGGAAUAUUUACAUAUAGGUACUAGAAGUUUUAACAAUAAUUCAGAAAAUUAUACAGUAUUUAAAUUUGAACAAAAUAUUGAGCGUAAUUAACUCUAUGAUUCUGUCUUUUGAGAAAAUAAUGAUCAAUAUGAACUGUCUUUAUCAGCCGGUA
RNAcentral lists this long non-coding RNA (1102 nucleotides) under Cinara cedri. Lineage: Eukaryota; Metazoa; Arthropoda; Insecta; Hemiptera; Aphididae. The record is from RNAcentral.